UAGAUGAUGGCCUAAAUGUUAAGGCACUUGAUUGUUAUUCAAGAGAUUGUAGAAGUAUACUACUCAUUUAG
Molecule: transfer RNA, 71 nt
Filed under: Pila virens
Lineage: Eukaryota; Metazoa; Mollusca; Gastropoda; Architaenioglossa; Ampullariidae
Description: tRNA-Asn
Rfam family: tRNA
About the family: Transfer RNA (tRNA) molecules are approximately 80 nucleotides in length. Their secondary structure includes four short double-helical elements and three loops (D, anti-codon, and T loops). Further hydrogen bonds mediate the characteristic L-shaped molecular structure. tRNAs have two regions of fundamental functional importance: the anti-codon, which is responsible for specific mRNA codon recognition, and the 3' end, to which the tRNAs corresponding amino acid is attached (by aminoacyl-tRNA synthetases). tRNAs cope with the degeneracy of the genetic code in two manners: having more than one tRNA (with a specific anti-codon) for a particular amino acid; and 'wobble' base-pairing, i.e. permitting non-standard base-pairing at the 3rd anti-codon position.
Source: RNAcentral